UUCCGGUUGAUCCUGCCGGACCCGACUGCUAUCAGAAUGAGAUUAAGCCAUGCGAGUCAACGUAGCAAUACGUGGCACACGGCUCAGUWACACGUAGUCAACAUAACCAGAGGACGUGGAUAAACUCGGGAAACUGAGGCUAAACCGCGAUAGACCAARAUACCUGGAAUGGUUUUUGAUCAAAAUCUAUAUGGCCUUUGGAUUGGACUGCGACCGAUCAGGCUGUUGGUGAGGUAAUGGCCCACCAAAUCUGUAACCGGUACGGGCUCUGAGAGGAGGAGCCCGGAGAUGGGUACUGAGACAAGGACCCAGGCCCUAUGGGGCGCAGCRGGCGCGAAACCUCUGCAAUAGGCGAAAGCUUGACAGGGUUAUUCUGAGUGACUUUCGCUAAGAAAGUCUUUUGACACCUCUAAAAAUGGUGUAGAAUAAGGGGUGGGCAAGUCUGGUGUCAGCCGCCGCGGUAAUACCAGCACCCCGAGUGGUCGGGACGAUUAUUGGGCCUAAAGCAUCCGUAGCCGGUUUUACAAGUCCUCCGUUAAAUCCAACUGCUUAACAGAUGGGCCGCGGAGGAUACUAUAAGACUAGGAGGCAGGAGAGGCAAGCGGUACUCAGUGGGUAGGGGUAAAAUCCGUUGAUCCAUUGAAGACCACCAGUUGCGAAGCGGUUUCCAGAACGGGUUCGACGGUGAGGAUGAAAGNUGGGGGNNAACCCGAUUAGNUACCCGGUAGNCCANUUUAACGUUGAGAUUCGGGAUGGCUAGUUCAUNUANCCANUNCGNAGGAAGNCGUUAGNUUCCCCUGGNAANACGGUCNAAAUUGAANUUAAGGGUUUGGNGGGGGCACCAAGGGGGAACCUUCGGUUNAUUGGG
This 868-nucleotide ribosomal RNA is filed under the name uncultured archaeon. RNAcentral describes it as "partial 16S ribosomal RNA". It matches the Rfam family "Archaeal small subunit ribosomal RNA", at positions 1 to 909 of the family's 1478-position model. The record is from RNAcentral.